AUUUGCAAGUAAAGCCAGGUGCAAACAUGUUGGAGACACGCCUAUCUAAAUGAGGGUUUUGUGUGUUUUUUGUUGGUUUGCAGCAUGGUGAGUUUGGAGAGACGAAAGCGCAAAGCUAAAUUAGA
Molecule: long non-coding RNA, 125 nt
Organism: Sphaeramia orbicularis (orbiculate cardinalfish)
Lineage: Eukaryota; Metazoa; Chordata; Actinopteri; Kurtiformes; Apogonidae
Exons: 3
Source: RefSeq, a predicted model, not a curated record